RNAcentral lists this long non-coding RNA (510 nucleotides) under Mytilus galloprovincialis (Mediterranean mussel). The record is from RNAcentral. Lineage: Eukaryota; Metazoa; Mollusca; Bivalvia; Mytilida; Mytilidae.
UGUAGCUUAUUAUACCCCCGCUUUAAAAAAGGGGGGGUAUACUGUUUUACCUCUGUCUGUCCGUCCGUCAGUCCGUCCGUCAGUCCGUCAGUCCGUCCGUCAGUCAGUCCAUCCCAUGAAACUUUCGUCACAUUUUUCUCAGGAACUACACAUCCACCCUUUCUGUAAUUUGGUAUCAACAUUUAUAUAUGUCAGCCAUACCGUGUGAUGCGUUUUCAGAUUCAUCACUUGACAACUUCCUGUUUACCGAACACUUGUCUGAUUUUACACAUGAUAGCCAAGUUGAAAAUUUUCGUCACAUUUUUCUCAGGAACUACAAUACAAGGAUUUCUGAAAUUUGGUUUCAGGAUUUAUAUAAGUCAGCUAUACCGUGUGAUGCAUUUUCAGAUUCAUCACUCGACAACUUCCUGUUUACCGAACACUUGCAUAUUUUUACACUAUUAAUAUUAUCCACUUGCGGCGGGAGUAUCAUCAGUGAGCAGUAGCUCGCAGUUUCACUUGUUGUAUCUG